This 87-nucleotide transfer RNA is filed under the name Candidatus Auribacterota bacterium. RNAcentral describes it as "tRNA-Ser". It matches the Rfam family "tRNA". From Rfam's summary of the family: Transfer RNA (tRNA) molecules are approximately 80 nucleotides in length. Their secondary structure includes four short double-helical elements and three loops (D, anti-codon, and T loops). Lineage: Bacteria; Pseudomonadati; Candidatus Auribacterota. The record is from RNAcentral.
GGAGAGAUGGCAGAGUCUGGCUUAACGCGGCGGUCUUGAAAACCGUUGUCCCGAAAGGGACCGGGGGUUCGAAUCCCUCUCUCUCCG